CAGUGAAUCUUUGGAUGGCUUUUCGCAUGAUGUCCUGUCUCACCUCCUGAAUGACCCUGUUAUUUUUGAAAAGAGCGAAAUGAUGGAAUUGGAGCUGUCUCCCACAUCUCCAAUACCUCAUAUCCAGACAGAGCACAGUUACUCCCUUAUUGGUGAUUCCUUUUCCCAGUUCCCAGUAACAAAUUCCUCUUCAGAAGAACCAUUGACCGAAGGCAAUACCAUGUCCAGGAAACAAUGCCCACAUUCAUCCAUAAUGUGUCAUGUUUAAAAUCUGAGAAAAAUUUCUGCCUCACACAUGUAUCAGUUUCCGUGAUACAAGGGAGAUCAGAAGCCGUCACAAGUGUUUGUUUACAGUAAAAUCAAUAUGAAUGAAUGUUUCAUUUACCGUUGUCCUGCCACUACCUGCAGUAAUGGAGUU
Protopterus annectens (West African lungfish) is the source of this 418-nucleotide long non-coding RNA. RefSeq lists it as uncharacterized. The transcript is spliced from 3 exons. Lineage: Eukaryota; Metazoa; Chordata; Ceratodontiformes; Protopteridae. The record is from RefSeq and is a predicted model, not a curated record.